RNAcentral lists this unclassified non-coding RNA (395 nucleotides) under Hevea brasiliensis (rubber tree). Lineage: Eukaryota; Viridiplantae; Streptophyta; Magnoliopsida; Malpighiales; Euphorbiaceae. The record is from RNAcentral.
GAAGCAAGAGUUUCAGAAAAGGACGUACUGAUUCGAAUCCACUGCGAUAAACAACAUGGAGUUGUUCCAAAAAUACUAAAUGAAGUAGAGAAUCUCAACCUAACUAUCAUCAACAGCAGUGUUUUGCCCUUUGGGAAUUGCACCCUUGACAUUACCAUUAUCGCUCAGAUGGAAUCUGAAUUCUCCAUGGCGGUGAAGGAUCUGGUGAAAAACCUAGGAGUGGCUUUUUUGAAGUUAAUGUAGACGAAAUUCAGUUUGUGCAUUUCUCGUCUGUACAUCCAUAGUCAAGAAUAUUUUGCUAAAGCUAAAACUUUAGUUAUCUCCUCUUCUUUUGACCCUUCUAAGAAAGACAUAAGCCUGGAAAUCUCUCCUCUUCUCUUGCCGUGAGGUUUCAU